Molecule: ribosomal RNA, 1440 nt
Filed under: Vibrio alginolyticus
Lineage: Bacteria; Pseudomonadati; Pseudomonadota; Gammaproteobacteria; Vibrionales; Vibrionaceae
Description: bacterial SSU rRNA
Rfam family: Bacterial small subunit ribosomal RNA
Source: RNAcentral
UUGAAGAGUUUGAUCAUGGCUCAGAUUGAACGCUGGCGGCAGGCCUAACACAUGCAAGUCGAGCGGAAACGAGUUAUCUGAACCUUCGGGGAACGAUAACGGCGUCGAGCGGCGGACGGGUGAGUAAUGCCUAGGAAAUUGCCCUGAUGUGGGGGAUAACCAUUGGAAACGAUGGCUAAUACCGCAUGAUGCCUACGGGCCAAAGAGGGGGACCUUCGGGCCUCUCGCGUCAGGAUAUGCCUAGGUGGGAUUAGCUAGUUGGUGAGGUAAGGGCUCACCAAGGCGACGAUCCCUAGCUGGUCUGAGAGGAUGAUCAGCCACACUGGAACUGAGACACGGUCCAGACUCCUACGGGAGGCAGCAGUGGGGAAUAUUGCACAAUGGGCGCAAGCCUGAUGCAGCCAUGCCGCGUGUGUGAAGAAGGCCUUCGGGUUGUAAAGCACUUUCAGUCGUGAGGAAGGUAGUGUAGUUAAUAGCUGCAUUAUUUGACGUUAGCGACAGAAGAAGCACCGGCUAACUCCGUGCCAGCAGCCGCGGUAAUACGGAGGGUGCGAGCGUUAAUCGGAAUUACUGGGCGUAAAGCGCAUGCAGGUGGUUUGUUAAGUCAGAUGUGAAAGCCCGGGGCUCAACCUCGGAAUAGCAUUUGAAACUGGCAGACUAGAGUACUGUAGAGGGGGGUAGAAUUUCAGGUGUAGCGGUGAAAUGCGUAGAGAUCUGAAGGAAUACCGGUGGCGAAGGCGGCCCCCUGGACAGAUACUGACACUCAGAUGCGAAAGCGUGGGGAGCAAACAGGAUUAGAUACCCUGGUAGUCCACGCCGUAAACGAUGUCUACUUGGAGGUUGUGGCCUUGAGCCGUGGCUUUCGGAGCUAACGCGUUAAGUAGACCGCCUGGGGAGUACGGUCGCAAGAUUAAAACUCAAAUGAAUUGACGGGGGCCCGCACAAGCGGUGGAGCAUGUGGUUUAAUUCGAUGCAACGCGAAGAACCUUACCUACUCUUGACAUCCAGAGAACUUUCCAGAGAUGGAUUGGUGCCUUCGGGAACUCUGAGACAGGUGCUGCAUGGCUGUCGUCAGCUCGUGUUGUGAAAUGUUGGGUUAAGUCCCGCAACGAGCGCAACCCUUAUCCUUGUUUGCCAGCGAGUAAUGUCGGGAACUCCAGGGAGACUGCCGGUGAUAAACCGGAGGAAGGUGGGGACGACGUCAAGUCAUCAUGGCCCUUACGAGUAGGGCUACACACGUGCUACAAUGGCGCAUACAGAGGGCAGCCAACUUGCGAAAGUGAGCGAAUCCCAAAAAGUGCGUCGUAGUCCGGAUUGGAGUCUGCAACUCGACUCCAUGAAGUCGGAAUCGCUAGUAAUCGUGGAUCAGAAUGCCACGGUGAAUACGUUCCCGGGCCUUGUACACACCGCCCGUCACACCAUGGGAGUGGGCUGCAAAAG